This 84-nucleotide transfer RNA is filed under the name Pseudomonadota bacterium. RNAcentral's name for it is "tRNA-Leu". It matches the Rfam family "tRNA". Rfam says of the family: Transfer RNA (tRNA) molecules are approximately 80 nucleotides in length. Their secondary structure includes four short double-helical elements and three loops (D, anti-codon, and T loops). The record is from RNAcentral. Lineage: Bacteria; Pseudomonadati; Pseudomonadota. RNAcentral also lists the same sequence under 1 other name.
GCCGGGAUGGCGGAAUCGGCAGACGCGCGGGACUCAAACUCCCGUGGGCUUCGGCCCGUGAGGGUUCGAUCCCCUCUCCCGGCA